RNAcentral lists this ribosomal RNA (3088 nucleotides) under Salmonella enterica. Its description in RNAcentral is "23S ribosomal RNA". It matches the Rfam family "Bacterial large subunit ribosomal RNA". Lineage: Bacteria; Pseudomonadati; Pseudomonadota; Gammaproteobacteria; Enterobacterales; Enterobacteriaceae. The record is from RNAcentral. RNAcentral also lists the same sequence under 2 other names.
GGUUAAGCGACUAAGCGUACACGGUGGAUGCCCUGGCAGUCAGAGGCGAUGAAGGGCGUGCUAAUCUGCGAUAAGCGCCGGUAAGGUGAUAUGAACCGUUAUAACCGGCGAUACCCGAAUGGGGAAACCCAGUGUGAUUCGUCACACUAUCAUUAACUGAAUCCAUAGGUUAAUGAGGCGAACCGGGGGAACUGAAACAUCUAAGUACCCCGAGGAAAAGAAAUCAACCGAGAUUCCCCCAGUAGCGGCGAGCGAACGGGGAGGAGCCCAGAGCCUGAAUCAGCAUGUGUGUUAGUGGAAGCGUCUGGAAAGGCGCGCGAUACAGGGUGACAGCCCCGUACACAAAAGCGCAUGUGCUGUGAGCUCGAUGAGUAGGGCGGGACACGUGGUAUCCUGUCUGAAUAUGGGGGGACCAUCCUCCAAGGCUAAAUACUCCUGACUGACCGAUAGUGAACCAGUACCGUGAGGGAAAGGCGAAAAGAACCCCGGCGAGGGGAGUGAAAAAGAACCUGAAACCGUGUACGUACAAGCAGUGGGAGCCCCACCACUAAGCCAGUGGUGAACUCCACAUACGCAUCCUUUGCUGAGGAUACGGUUAACGGAGCGAAAGCGACGUUCAACCGCAAAACAAGCAGAGGGGGCUUAGUGGUGGGGUGACUGCGUACCUUUUGUAUAAUGGGUCAGCGACUUAUAUUCUGUAGCAAGGUUAACCGAAUAGGGGAGCCGUAGGGAAACCGAGUCUUAACCGGGCGUUAAGUUGCAGGGUAUAGACCCGAAACCCGGUGAUCUAGCCAUGGGCAGGUUGAAGGUUGGGUAACACUAACUGGAGGACCGAACCGACUAAUGUUGAAAAAUUAGCGGAUGACCUGUGGCUGGGGGUGAAAGGCCAAUCAAACCGGGAGAUAGCUGGUUCUCCCCGAAAGCUAUUUAGGUAGCGCCUCGUGAAUUCAUCUCCGGGGGUAGAGCACUGUUUCGGCUAGGGGGCCAUCCCGGCUUACCAACCCGAUGCAAACUGCGAAUACCGGAGAAUGUUAUCACGGGAGACACACGGCGGGUGCUAACGUCCGUCGUGAAGAGGGAAACAACCCAGACCGCCAGCUAAGGUCCCAAAGUCAUGGUUAAGUGGGAAACGAUGUGGGAAGGCCCAGACAGCCAGGAUGUUGGCUUAGAAGCAGCCAUCAUUUAAAGAAAGCGUAAUAGCUCACUGGUCGAGUCGGCCUGCGCGGAAGAUGUAACGGGGCUAAACCAUGCACCGAAGCUGCGGCAGCGAACGUAUCACUUAAAGCGAUUCAGCGGGUUACGAUUGACGGAGCGAAGCGACGUCAAAGCGUAUACAAAGUCGAGUCGGUUUAAGGAUACGUUCGUUGGGUAGGGGAGCGUUCUGUAAGCCUGCGAAGGUGGCCUGUGAGGGUUGCUGGAGGUAUCAGAAGUGCGAAUGCUGACAUAAGUAACGAUAAAGCGGGUGAAAAGCCCGCUCGCCGGAAGACCAAGGGUUCCUGUCCAACGUUAAUCGGGGCAGGGUGAGUCGACCCCUAAGGCGAGGCCGAAAGGCGUAGUCGAUGGGAAACGGGUUAAUAUUCCCGUACUUGGUGUUACUGCGAAGGGGGGACGGAGAAGGCUAUGUUGGCCGGGCGACGGUUGUCCCGGUUUAAGCGUGUAGGUGUGUGUUCCAGGUAAAUCCGGUUCACUUUAACACUGAGGCGUGACGACGAGGCACUACGGUGCUGAAGCAACAAAUGCCCUGCUUCCAGGAAAAGCCUCUAAGCAUCAGGUAACAUCAAAUCGUACCCCAAACCGACACAGGUGGUCAGGUAGAGAAUACCAAGGCGCUUGAGAGAACUCGGGUGAAGGAACUAGGCAAAAUGGUGCCGUAACUUCGGGAGAAGGCACGCUGAUAUGUAGGUGAAGCGGUUUACCCGUGGAGCUGAAAUCAGUCGAAGAUACCAGCUGGCUGCAACUGUUUAUUAAAAACACAGCACUGUGCAAACACGAAAGUGGACGUAUACGGUGUGACGCCUGCCCGGUGCCGGAAGGUUAAUUGAUGGGGUCAGCGCAAGCGAAGCUCCUGAUCGAAGCCCCGGUAAACGGCGGCCGUAACUAUAACGGUCCUAAGGUAGCGAAAUUCCUUGUCGGGUAAGUUCCGACCUGCACGAAUGGCGUAAUGAUGGCCAGGCUGUCUCCACCCGAGACUCAGUGAAAUUGAACUCGCUGUGAAGAUGCAGUGUACCCGCGGCAAGACGGAAAGACCCCGUGAACCUUUACUAUAGCUUGACACUGAACAUUGAGCCUUGAUGUGUAGGAUAGGUGGGAGGCUUUGAAGUGUGGACGCCAGUCUGCAUGGAGCCGACCUUGAAAUACCACCCUUUAAUGUUUGAUGUUCUAACGUGGACCCGUGAUCCGGGUUGCGGACAGUGUCUGGUGGGUAGUUUGACUGGGGCGGUCUCCUCCUAAAGAGUAACGGAGGAGCACGAAGGUUGGCUAAUCCUGGUCGGACAUCAGGAGGUUAGUGCAAUGGCAUAAGCCAGCUUGACUGCGAGCGUGACGGCGCGAGCAGGUGCGAAAGCAGGUCAUAGUGAUCCGGUGGUUCUGAAUGGAAGGGCCAUCGCUCAACGGAUAAAAGGUACUCCGGGGAUAACAGGCUGAUACCGCCCAAGAGUUCAUAUCGACGGCGGUGUUUGGCACCUCGAUGUCGGCUCAUCACAUCCUGGGGCUGAAGUAGGUCCCAAGGGUAUGGCUGUUCGCCAUUUAAAGUGGUACGCGAGCUGGGUUUAGAACGUCGUGAGACAGUUCGGUCCCUAUCUGCCGUGGGCGCUGGAGAACUGAGGGGGGCUGCUCCUAGUACGAGAGGACCGGAGUGGACGCAUCACUGGUGUUCGGGUUGUCAUGCCAAUGGCACUGCCCGGUAGCUAAAUGCGGAAGAGAUAAGUGCUGAAAGCAUCUAAGCACGAAACUUGCCCCGAGAUGAGUUCUCCCUGAGACUUAGAGUCUCCUGAAGGAACGUUGAAGACGACGACGUUGAUAGGCCGGGUGUGUAAGCGCAGCGAUGCGUUGAGCUAACCGGUACUAAUGAACCGUGAGGCUUAACCUU